CCUAGUUGGAAAAAGGCUUUGGCACGCGCGGAUUAAAUGCCGAAAUAUCUAAGGGCGGCCAUGCACAGGAUUCAAGGGGGCAACUUCGGCUGUGAAAACUUUUCUGUACUUCCUUCAUUCGAAACUCGAACUCGAAAGUUGCGGGACUAGUGUUGGGUAUAAAAUAUCCUCCAGUCGAAGUUCGUGACAGGAGUGGCCCUUCGGGGGUUCUAUCGACUUCUGACCUGCGGCGAGAUCCCCCCGAACCUCUCUGGCGGCCGAGCCUCCGCAACACUCCCAAGUUUUGCCACCACCAGCGUCGACCAGAUUCUUCACGGUGGACGGACUCCGCCCAAGCUUCCACAA
This 345-nucleotide long non-coding RNA is filed under the name Elaeis guineensis (African oil palm). Its description in RNAcentral is "long non-coding RNA (EGUI_LNC079161)". Lineage: Eukaryota; Viridiplantae; Streptophyta; Magnoliopsida; Arecales; Arecaceae. The record is from RNAcentral.